AUUGAACGCUGGCGGCAUGCUUUACACAUGCAAGUCGAACGGUAACAGCACUUCGGUGGCUGACGAGUGGCGAACGGGUGAGUAAUACAUCGGAACGUGCCUAGUAGUGGGGGAUAACUACUCGAAAGAGUAGCUAAUACCGCAUGAGAUCUAAGGAUGAAAGCCGGGGACCUUCGGGCCUUGCGCUACUAGAGCGGCUGAUGGCAGAUUAGGUAGUUGGUGGGAUAAAAGCUUACCAAGCCGACGAUCUGUAGCUGGUCUGAGAGGACGACCAGCCACACUGGAACUGAGACACGGCCCAGACUCCUACGGGAGGCAGCAGUGGGGAAUUUUGGACAAUGGGCGCAAGCCUGAUCCAGCAAUGCCGCGUGCAGGAUGAAGGCCUUCGGGUUGUAAACUGCUUUUGUACGGAACGAAAAGCCCUCUCCUAAUACAGGAGGGUCAUGACGGUACCGUAAGAAUAAGCACCGGCUAACUACGUG
RNAcentral lists this ribosomal RNA (482 nucleotides) under uncultured bacterium. Its description in RNAcentral is "partial 16S ribosomal RNA". It matches the Rfam family "Bacterial small subunit ribosomal RNA", at positions 30 to 507 of the family's 1533-position model. The record is from RNAcentral.